ACGGGUGAGUAACGCGUGGGUAACCUACCCUGUACACACGGAUAACAUACCGAAAGGUAUGCUAAUACGGGAUAAUAUAUUUGAGAGGCAUCUCUUAAAUAUCAAAGGUGAGCCAGUACAGGAUGGACCCGCGUCUGAUUAGCUAGUUGGUAAGGUAACGGCUUACCAAGGCGACGACCAGUAGCCGACCUGAGAGGGUGAUCGGCCACAUUGGAACUGAGACACGGUCCAAACUCCUACGGGAGGCAGCAGUGGGGAAUAUUGCACAAUGGGCGAAAGCCUGAUGCAGCAACGCCGCGUGAGUGAUGAAGGCCUUCGGGUCGUAAAACUCUGUCCUCAAGGAAGAUAAUGACGGUACUUGAGGAGGAAGCCCCGGCUAACUACGUGCCAGCAGCCGCGGUAAUACGUAGGGGGCUAGCGUUAUCCGGAUUUACUGGGCGUAAAGGGUGCGUAGGCGGUCUUUCAAGUCAGGAGUGAAAGGCUACGGCUCAACCGUAGUAAGCUCUUGAAACUGGGAGACUUGAGUGCAGGAGAGGAGAGUGGAAUUCCUAGUGUAGCGGUGAAAUGCGUAGAUAUUAGGAGGAACACCAGUUGCGAAGGCGGCUCUCUGGACUGUAACUGACGCUGAGGCACGAAAGCGUGGGGAGCAAACAGGAUUAGAUACCCUGGUAGUCCACGCUGUAAACGAUGAGUACUAGGUGUCGGGGGUUACCCCCCUCGGUGCCGCAGCUAACG
Molecule: ribosomal RNA, 735 nt
Filed under: uncultured bacterium
Lineage: Bacteria
Description: bacterial SSU rRNA
Rfam family: Bacterial small subunit ribosomal RNA
Source: RNAcentral